CAAAAACUUGCUCUAACCCGGAGUUACCCGUAUGUGUCUUUUGUCUUAAGCUCCCUGGAGCUUUCCAAAGUGAUGUUUUAAAUGACAGACCAUUUGCCACCAGCCUGACUACGUACGGGAAGAGCUUCACACGGGCCUGAUCCUAUCCACGUACACAGAUGAACGCGGUGGAUUGGAAUGAAGAGACGGGGAGGUGGGAGUCCACCAGACAUGUGAGUGUGAUCAGAGAAGUCAGAGGAAUCUAUGCAAGCCGUUUCCGAUGGCUUGCUCUAGAUAUGAUGCAGAAAAGAGAGUAAAGAAAGACCCCUAAAGCGCACCACCCAACCCCAAGUCUUUCUAUAAGAACACCCACUCCUCCUGCUCUUACCAUUACGCCCUAAGUAAAAUGAAGAUGGAAUCAAAUGCGCAUCUUGAAGAGGUAGCCAGGCAAAGGGGACUGAAACAAGGGAUACGUAGGCCAAACCAAUGGACGUUUUCUACUCUUUUUAUUCUCACUUAUUUGUUUUGUUAUGCUGGAAAAACAUUUAAGUCACGACUUGAGAUUGAGAUUGAUCUCCUUUGAUCUUUUUUAUCCUUUUCUUAAUACAUGGAAUUGGGUUUUUGUAAGGCAAGAUUUGCUGGAAUGCUUUACAGUACUUCAAUCUGUUUAAAUGGAACAUGCUAAAGAUAUUCUAAC
Phoenix dactylifera (date palm) is the source of this 676-nucleotide non-coding RNA. The record is from RefSeq and is a predicted model, not a curated record. NCBI's taxonomy places the organism in Eukaryota, Viridiplantae, Streptophyta, Magnoliopsida, Arecales, Arecaceae.